CCUACGGGAGGCAGCAGUGGGGAAUAUUGCACAAUGGGGGAAACCCUGAUGCAGCGACGCCGCGUGAGUGAAGAAGUAUUUCGGUAUGUAAAGCUCUAUCAGCAGGGAAGAAAAUGACGGUACCUGAUUAUGAAGCCCCGGCUAACUACGUGCCAGCAGCCGCGGUAAUACGUAGGGGGCAAGCGUUAUCCGGAUUUACUGGGUGUAAAGGGAGCGUAGACGGCAGCACAAGUCUGGAGUGAAAUGCCUGGGCUUAACCCGGGAACUGCUUUGGAAACUGUGCAGCUAGAGUGCAGGAGAGGGAAGUGGAAUUCCUAGUGUAGCGGUGAAAUGCGUAGAUAUUAGGAGGAACACCAGUGGCGAAGGCGGCUUACUGGACUGUAACUGACGUUGAGGCUCGAAAGCGUGGGGAGCAAACAGGAUUAGAUACCCUGGUAGUC
RNAcentral lists this ribosomal RNA (440 nucleotides) under uncultured bacterium. RNAcentral describes it as "partial 16S ribosomal RNA". It matches the Rfam family "Bacterial small subunit ribosomal RNA", at positions 338 to 795 of the family's 1533-position model. The record is from RNAcentral.